GCGUUGAUGUAGCCGCAUCUGAAGGAGUAUGAGUCAUGCACGUCGAUCAAACUCGCUUUGAGAGGAAAAGCUAAUUCAUAACAAAAAAAAAAAGGAAAAGAAAAGAAAAAGAAAAACGUGGUUCAAUGUUCCACGGUGCCCAACUUAAAUAAAGUAGGAGAGCAAUCCAGUACUUGGUCGUCCUUGAAACAAAUUAAUGAUGUGACAUUCUAACUGCAUCUGACCAGGAUGGGUACGUUGAGGGAGACCCAGCAGGGAAAAAAUAAAGGAAUUCGUGGUCUUCAAUUGGUUCAUUUUGUAGAAAAGUAAUUCUUCCUUGA
Molecule: long non-coding RNA, 320 nt
Filed under: Elaeis guineensis (African oil palm)
Lineage: Eukaryota; Viridiplantae; Streptophyta; Magnoliopsida; Arecales; Arecaceae
Description: long non-coding RNA (EGUI_LNC002480)
Source: RNAcentral